RNAcentral lists this ribosomal RNA (482 nucleotides) under uncultured Pirellula sp. Its description in RNAcentral is "bacterial SSU rRNA". It matches the Rfam family "Bacterial small subunit ribosomal RNA", at positions 8 to 507 of the family's 1533-position model. Lineage: Bacteria; Pseudomonadati; Planctomycetota; Planctomycetia; Pirellulales; Pirellulaceae. The record is from RNAcentral.
AGAGUUUGAUCCUGGCUCAGAAUGAACGUUGGCGGCGUGGAUUAGGCAUGCAAGUCGCGCGAUAAGCGUAGCAAUACGCAGAAAGCGGCGUAAGGGAGAGUAAUACAUGGUUAGCUACCUCGGGACUGGGAUAGCGGCGGGGAAACUGCCGGUAAUACCAGAUGACAUCUUCGGAUCAAACGUGUGAAUCGGCCCGAGGAGGCGACCAUGUCCUAUCAGCUUGUUGGCGGGGUAACGGCCCACCAAGGCUAAGACGGGUAUGGGGCGUGAGAGCGUGCCCCCACUCACUGGGACUGAGAUACUGCCCAGACACCUACGGGUGGCUGCAGUCGAGAAUCUUCGGCAAUGGGCGCAAGCCUGACCGAGCGACGCCGCGUGCGGGAUGAAGGCCUUCGGGUUGUAAACCGCUGUCGUAGGGGAGGAAGGCUCCGUGCAGAACGGAGUUUGACCGAUCCUAGGAGGAAGGGCCGGCUAAUCUCGUG